Molecule: transfer RNA, 78 nt
Filed under: Gluconobacter oxydans
Lineage: Bacteria; Pseudomonadati; Pseudomonadota; Alphaproteobacteria; Acetobacterales; Acetobacteraceae
Also listed under: 2 other names
Description: tRNA-Asp
Rfam family: tRNA
About the family: Transfer RNA (tRNA) molecules are approximately 80 nucleotides in length. Their secondary structure includes four short double-helical elements and three loops (D, anti-codon, and T loops).
Source: RNAcentral
GGUGACGUAGCUCAGUUGGUUAGCAGCACCGGCCUGUCACGCCGGAGGUCGCGGGUUCAAGUCCCGUCGUCAUCGCCA